AUGGCGUCUUCACUCUUCAUCAUUGCCAUCCUCCUCACCGUCGCCGCAACCGACGCGGCCACCAUCACGGUCGUGAACAAGUGCUCCUACACGGUGUGGCCAGCUGCUAUCCCGGUGGGAGGCGGGACCAAGCUCGAACCGGGCCAGAUGUCCACAAUCCACCCGCCCGCCGGCACAAAUUCUGGCAGGAUCUGGGCGCGUACGGGCUGCAAAUUCGACGCCAGUGGCAAGGGGUCCUGUACCACGGGAGACUGCGGCGGCGUGCUAGCCUGCCGUGUCGGCGUGAAGCCACCCGCCUCGCUCGCCGAGUACACUCUGGGGACAGGCAGCAAUGCUGACUUCUACGACAUCUCCCUCGUCGACGGAUUCAACUGCCCGUCGGAGCUGAAGGUGAACGGGGGCUGCAUGAGUGCCUGCGGCAAGUUCGGCACCCCACAAUACUGCUGCCCGGCGCCAAGUACGCCGGCGACCUGCGGGCCGACGAGCUACUCGCGUUUCUUCAAGGGGCUCUGCCCAGACGCCUACAGCUACGCCUACGACGACAAGAGCAGCACAUUCACCUGCGCCGCCGGAACAAACUACCAAGUCACCUUCUGCCCGUAG
Molecule: ribosomal RNA, 603 nt
Filed under: Triticum aestivum (bread wheat)
Lineage: Eukaryota; Viridiplantae; Streptophyta; Magnoliopsida; Poales; Poaceae
Description: partial small subunit ribosomal RNA
Source: RNAcentral